GAAGGAUCGAACUGAGAAAGUUAGGAUCUGUGGGAAGACAGUGCUCAGAGCCCUGCCCUUCUGUGAAACCAGCAGAGACGUGAAAGUGUAGUGGCCAGUGUCCAUUUCUGGCAGGUGAAUGGCCCUUCUGCUUGGAUUCCUGUCUGCUAAAGUCCUGGGGGAAACAGUUGACACUCCCAACUGCAGCUUAGUGGCGGAGGAUCUCCAAAUCACAGGAAGAACUGGAGAUAGUUCUAGGGUCUGUGGGGUCUCCUGUUUCCAGGCUGAUGGUUUAAGACUGUCUAAUAAUGAUUUAAAAUAAACUUACCCUGGGACCUUGUGAAUUAUGCUCUAUGAGAAGAUGAAAGUAAAAAACCCUGACAAGUAGGAAGAUUCUUUCAUUUACAGGAAGAGACUAAUAGUCACAUGGAAGAGAAUAGGAAAGAAGACAGAAUUUUAUGCUUCAGGCAGUGAUUGUGAUUUGUGGUACCCUUUUUUUUACAGUUUGGAGUGUAUCCUGUCAUACUUCUCCCUCCUGCAGAUAAAGAUUGAUUGAUUGAUCAAUUGAUAGACACACACAUGCCAUGUGGUAUAUAUGAGACCCUUCAUUACAAUAGGGAUAUAACCUGAUGAUUCUUCAUAUGUCAGCUUGAUGUUAUGUUAUAUGAGUUAUUUACGAGAAUUAUAUCAGCUUCAAAUGACCUCCCACCUAAAGUCAGUGUCUUGCAAACAACAUCCUGGAAAAACUAAAAGAAUAAAGUUUGUAGUUCUAUUGGAUCUCAGCUGGACGCUACAACUUCAGAGGAAGAAUAUAUGUAAGGUGUGUAAGCAGAAACUCCACGAGGUCCAGGCGGAGAACAGGACUCUAAGAGUCUCUAAUCUUGACCACUGUCAACUGAAUUAGCAAAAAUUUCCACAGGCUGUGAAGAUGAUACUCUAUAGAGCCAAUGAUCUGUGUGUGACUACUCUUCAUAGAUGUAGCAGGGACAAUAGCCGGCUCCCCAUAGCUGUCCCCUUGUCAUCAUUUGCUGUAUUCUUAAAGGGCACACAAUCUAAAGCUAUUGUGGAAGAUGCCUCUUAUCCAUCUUUGCGGGUGGACGUAUGAGUUUUACCUUCCUACCUAGUGUAGCUAGGCGAGUUGCUGGUGGCUCCUCUGGGCUUAUUUUCUUGCACUUCCAGCCACAUGGCCUGCUGUUCGUGCUGGCCUCCUCUUGCAGCUCCACUUGGACAGUGCUAUAAUUAGCAACAAAAAGGGGGGCUGUGACAACUAUUCAGUGGGGAUCAAUGAUUGCUCUUGGUUGCAAAUGUCAAGCUCACUAAACAGAGAGAGAUUUAUUACAGAAUAUUGAAUUGCUCACAAAUUGUUGGGAAGGAAAUGGAUCCAAGCAAAACCUCUACAAAUAAUCCAAGAAUCAAACUGCAGACACAACUUGUAUAGAGCCUCGUCUCACUACAACCUCCGAGGAACUUGGGCACUGCCACUAGGAUAUGGGAGAUCUGGCCUCUUGAUCUGCAAACUUCUCACUGCUGUUUAUGACCACUGCUUAGUCUCAAGCAGAAUCACCCAGCUCCAUGGUUGCUGGGCUAUUUCUGGCCCAGGCCACCCUGAGUAUUUCCAUCAUAAAUGUGCAUCUCCCCACACUUGAACUCUGACUCCUUAAAACAUCAUAAGCCAUGUGCUACCAUCUCAUGUAAUGCAAAUGUUUCCUUUAUAAAUACCAGCAUAUUCACCUUUACCCAAAAAAUGGGGGAACCCAAAUCCCUUCGAUUUAUCUCCCCUCCUGGGAGUUCAUGAUCUUCCCCGAAGAGUCACAAACCCAUCUAGAUAUCAUUUAAACCACUGUCAAAAUUACAAAGAUGAAAGUGUUUUCUUUACAUAUUUUGUUAAAAAAUGAAAUUCAGUCCAGUAAGUUUGAAGA
Molecule: long non-coding RNA, 1898 nt
Organism: Vulpes vulpes (red fox)
Lineage: Eukaryota; Metazoa; Chordata; Mammalia; Carnivora; Canidae
Source: Ensembl